This 374-nucleotide ribosomal RNA is filed under the name Pedobacter sp. VPMK33. RNAcentral describes it as "bacterial SSU rRNA". It matches the Rfam family "Bacterial small subunit ribosomal RNA", at positions 341 to 712 of the family's 1533-position model. The record is from RNAcentral. Lineage: Bacteria; Pseudomonadati; Bacteroidota; Sphingobacteriia; Sphingobacteriales; Sphingobacteriaceae.
ACGGGAGGCAGCAGUAAGGAAUAUUGGUCAAUGGAGGCAACUCUGAACCAGCCAUGCCGCGUGCAGGAAGACUGCCCUAUGGGUUGUAAACUGCUUUUAUCCGGGAAUAAACCUACUUACGUGUAAGUAGCUGAAUGUACCGGAAGAAUAAGGAUCGGCUAACUCCGUGCCAGCAGCCGCGGUAAUACGGAGGAUCCAAGCGUUAUCCGGAUUUAUUGGGUUUAAAGGGUGCGUAGGCGGCCUGUUAAGUCAGGGGUGAAAGACGGUAGCUCAACUAUCGCAGUGCCCUUGAUACUGAUGGGCUUGAAUGGACUAGAGGUAGGCGGAAUGAGACAAGUAGCGGUGAAAUGCAUAGAUAUGUCUCAGAACACCGA